UUGAUCCUGGCUCAGAAUCAACGCUGGCGGCGUGCCUAACACAUGCAAGUCGAACGCGAAAGUCCCGCAAGGGAUCAGUAGAGUGGCAAACGGGUGAGUUACACGUGGGUGACCUGCCUUCGAGUGGGGGAUAACGUCCCGAAAGGGACUCUAAUACCGCAUAACAUCCUGCCUUUUAAGAGGUGGAGAUCAAAGCCGGUGAUCGCAAGACCUGGCGCUUGAAGAGGGGCCCGCGUCCGAUUAGCUAGUUGGUGGGGUAAUGGCUCACCAAGGCUCCGAUCGGUAUCCGGCCUGAGAGGUCGGACGGACACACUGGGACUGAGACACGGCCCAGACUCCUACGGGAGGCUGCAGUGGGGAAUUGUUCGCAAUGGGCGCAAGCCUGACGACGCAACGCCGUGUGGAGGAUGAAGAUCUUCGGGUCGUAAACUCCUUUCGAUCGAGACGAAUGGCCUCUGGGUUAAUAGCCUGGAGGAGUGACGGUACCGAGAGAAGAAGCUCCGGCUAACUCCGUGCCAGCAGCCGCGGUAAUAAGGU
Molecule: ribosomal RNA, 537 nt
Filed under: uncultured Acidobacteriota bacterium
Lineage: Bacteria; Pseudomonadati; Acidobacteriota
Description: bacterial SSU rRNA
Rfam family: Bacterial small subunit ribosomal RNA
Source: RNAcentral